GCUUUUUAUGUGUUGUUAUGAAAAAACCUGAUGAGCAGUGGUUUUCUGACAUCGAGUCUCUGGGAGUCUCCCAUCGUUUCUUUCUUUUUUGAGAGAAUGGAGCAGCUUCUUGAAAUUUGAGCUAAUAAGGCGGCUGUUAGGAAAUUUGCUGUGUUAUAGUUGCCGAUCAGGCUGAUAAUCAGAAGAAAUGUAGGAGACCUCAUUGGACGAGACCUCUUGCAGCCCAUCACACAGGUGUGUGGUGCUCCUGUUGUGGCCAAGGUGUCUUCUAGGACAAGCCCGGAUGGAGUCUCCAGAGUCAAGACGGCAGAGAGAAUACAGCCAGCACAGCGCCGAUAUCCCCCAGGGCCACUGCACCUACAGAGCGAGGGCUUGGCUCUUCCUGCCACCUGUCUUGCCUGCCCAGGGACUGCAUGCCCACCUGCCCAACCUGUAGACCAGAGCACAGAAGGAAGGGGGCUCCUGCCAAACUUGGUAAGGAUUAUUUUGAAAGAGAGAGAGAAAAAUUUUUUUAUAAAGUAACCAGGAGAGGGUUACAGACCUCAAGGCUGGAAAGGAGAGAAAUGAUGGUUUGAGGGGCUCUGACUUAAGGCCAGAUCAUCCUGCCUACUGAGACCUGAUCUAAUGGACACAAGUAUCUCUCCCUUGACUGUCAGUACCUGGAAGUCUUAUUCUACGACUUUUCCUCCAUUGUUUUCUGUUCCCUGUUCUGUUGUUUGGCCCACCACAUUGCCUGGCUCACAGUGGAUAUCAAGUGAACAUUUUUCCAACAAGUUAAACAAGAGAAGGGAUAAAAGAAUCUUAACUCAAAACAAAGGAGAAAUGGAUUUACACUGAGGCAUCAGGAUAGAGGUGUACCUGCAGGGGGAUUUCUUGGCAGGGAACGUUACUGAACUCUGUUAUGGGUUGUUGAGGAAGUUUCAUGUAAUCCAAGGAGAUGCAUGAUCACAGUAGAAUUUUGACAAUUCUGGAAUGAUUUCAGUGGGCUGCCUGGAGGAGGGCAUGGCCCAGCUACUCGCAUGCCUCAUCCUUCCCUUGACGUUGAUGGUUCUCAUUCUCAGGAAGGUUCUGCCUUCCUUUUUCUCCU
This 1087-nucleotide long non-coding RNA is filed under the name Equus caballus (horse). RNAcentral describes it as "lncRNA (ENSECAG00000046611.1)". Lineage: Eukaryota; Metazoa; Chordata; Mammalia; Perissodactyla; Equidae. The record is from RNAcentral.